CAGCCGCCGCGGUAAUACGAAGGGUGCAAGCGUUACUCGGAAUUACUGGGCGUAAAGCGUGCGUAGGUGGUGGUUUAAGUCCGUUGUGAAAGCCCUGGGCUCAACCUGGGAAUUGCAGUGGAUACUGGGUCACUAGAGUGUGGUAGAGGAUAGUGGAAUUUCCGGUGUAGCAGUGAAAUGCGUAGAGAUCGGAAGGAACAUCUGUGGCGAAGGCGACUAUCUGGGCCAACACUGACACUGAGACACGAAAGCGUGGGGAGCAAACAGGAUUAGAUACCCGCGUAGUCCCUGUCUCUUAUAC
This 301-nucleotide ribosomal RNA is filed under the name uncultured bacterium. RNAcentral's name for it is "partial 16S ribosomal RNA". It matches the Rfam family "Bacterial small subunit ribosomal RNA", at positions 509 to 807 of the family's 1533-position model. The record is from RNAcentral.